UUUAUCAGAAUGAUCGGCAAUUACAGAUUAGUUAGGUUAGCUUAUGUAUCCCGUAUCUCUUCUCCAAAUUUUGUCUUCAUUUUCUGUUUCACCAUCUUCAUGUGCAAGUUUGCAGAGUCAGAUACCGGUGGACAUGAAUUCAUCAAAUCCACAUGGUACAGGUAUGUACUGUGAAUUUUCAGUUGAUGCAGGUUAACUACUCUGGUACACAGUACAGUUGAUGCAGUUGUAUGCGGAUGUAUCAAUUAAACACAAUUUUUUUUUGAAGGAAGUAAAUAAUGGCUUAAUGUCGUCAAACCCAGCAUAGUGUCAAGCCAAGGUAACAGCAAAGGGUAGGGAAUCUUGUUGAGAAUUUUGUUGGAUAUUGGAAAUUGGAUGUUAUGUUGCUAGUGUUGAUUGAUUGAUAAUCUUUGAAAUCAAUCAAGUGAUAAUAGAUUGUUAAGGGUUCAUGAAUACUUCUGACUUGUCACUUCGUGAAAACAGGUUUGUUUGAUCCAUCAGUAGCCAGUACUAAUGUAAUGUUACUGACGUAGUUAAUAUCUUUGGAUUGAUCUCAUUUGAUUUUGAUAUCGGCCUUCUCGAGAUACCAAAUUUUCAUGCAUUACAGUUGUAAUUCUUCCGAAUUUUGAGCACAUACUCUUAGGUGAUUCCUUUAAGUAUUCAGAUGUCGCUGGAUUUGAUGUUUUUCAAUUGAAUGCACUCGUCGUGUUUGACAAAAUUACUCAUCUAAAUAUUUUUUCUUUGAUAUGUAAAUCUGUUUAAGUGAAUUGCUCAUCUGAAUUACAGUUAGAAGGGCGUAUGUACUUAAUAUGAUAUCAUUUUUCCAAUUGGCAGCAGUAUAGUCCUGGAAAACACGGAGAAUAUAAGCCCUCUGCCACUACUAUUAGGUUGCUUAUGUUUUGGAGUCUACUGCAAUUGCGAUAUUUGUAUUUGUUUUUAUCGGUUGCUUGUGGUUUUCUUUUGAUGAUUCCUUAGUUUUUUGUUGAUAUUGGAAAAGUUGUCAAAAAGGGACAUUAUAUAUGAUUUUUCUAUUAGGACUUCCGAUGUUCUUUUGAUAGGUAUUAGUUUUGCACCACAAAAAUAUUUUUUUUACCAAGUGCAUAAUUUUUUUUUCCAAACCACCCCCAGUCUUCAAUCCUGGUUCCUCCACUGUUUAUUUGCAAAGAUAUGUUGGCAGAAACUAUCCUUGAAGAGAUAAAGAAAACUUGUUGUGGAUAGACUUUUGGCAUUGUUCAUCCAACAGAGGUCAGGUGAAGUAGCUAAAGUAGGGGUACAAGAAGUUGUGUACGCCAUUUACUGGUACUCUGGGUCAUGGAAGUGGAGCAUUUUUGGUAUCAGUGGUUUCUCGUAUGUGGGUAAUAAUUCAUUUUACUCUUUUUCUUGUUCUUGAUAGACGGAUUUGGCGUAGGCCUAGCAGUGGUCAGAUUCGGUAGCACAGACCAGUAAUCGUCGAGUGAGCGAGAGAAACACAUUAAUGAUAUCAAGAAGUUGAAAUGGGUUGCUAAGGGAAAAGUUUGGCCACCCUCAAUUUUCGUGCCUCGUCCAUGCUAGUUUUAGACCCUUAAAACCUUGUGUACCUUCAGAAUAUUGAGAAAAAAGUAACUUUUGUAAGCUUUCUUGCCUAUUCGCAAGACAUCACUAUCGAGAAUAUCAAGAAAGAGCUUCAAGCAAGGCCGACAACAAAGUUAGUUCAUGACCUGCGUAAGAAAGUCAAAAUUUUGCAGGUUAAACUUUCUGAGCAAUCAAAUUUGCUGGAAACGAAUGCGAUAUUGCAUACCAAGUAGUUUUGUGAGUCGUUGGUGAAAAACAGGGUGUUGAAGCUUGUUUAGAAACUAAUUGGAACCUAAGAAAUAGGUUCGGAUUGUGUGACGCAUACAGUUUGAUCAGCAGUAUUGGUAUGUCUCUCGGGUAGAGAGUUAGAAGCCCAGGAUACAACCAGGAGUAGCAGUGAACCAAGUUCAUCCAGGUAUCCGUCGAUAAUCAAGGUGUGAAAAAAAACCCAAGGUGAUUCCAGCAAGUGAGUUAAUGCCGUACUAAUAUAUGAAGGGAGGAGAAACAGUCAAGCAAGAUUAACUAUGCUCGAAAUUGUUGCAGAUGUUCAAACUGAACCAGUUUAAGGGGCAAUGCAGAAUACGUUCUUUCUAGUUUGGGUUUAAGGGAGGCUGUUGGAGUUAUAGAUUAAACCCAACCUAGAAGUGUUCUAACUUCUAUAGUUAAAUGUCAUGUUUAAAUUCUGUAGUUCCAAUCCAUAAGGCCGCAUCGAAGAACUCCUACAAGUGCUCCACGUAUGGAUCAUCAGUCGGCUAAUUCUGACGAAUUAAUGAAGCAUAUUCCUACUGGUCUUCCAAGGAGGUGUCAUUGUCUAGUGUGGGACAUCCCUCCACUUUCAACUUGCAAGGCGACCUUCCUAAAGUCGUAGUGAGAGCUUGAACCAAGGCUCUAUUGUGACGAGCAUGGGUUUUCAUCCACGGGAGAGGCUGGCUGGCAUAUAAGCAUAUAAGGAUUUUGAGGAUACCUUGUAACAUUUUUUCCAAGCGUUUCAAAGAUGUCUAAACAUUUGGUGUAUGUAGUACCUAAGUAAUAUGCAACCGUAUUAGAUAGGUACCCAAAUUAUAUUAAUUUACCCUUUUGAAGAAGUACCCAAUAAAUAUCUUGAGACCCUCUUAUAGAGGUAUCCGGUUUAUAUUAUUUGACCCUAUUAAAUAAGUACCCAUUAUAUUUA
This is a long non-coding RNA of Papaver somniferum (opium poppy), 2722 nucleotides long. RefSeq lists it as uncharacterized. The record is from RefSeq and is a predicted model, not a curated record. Lineage: Eukaryota; Viridiplantae; Streptophyta; Magnoliopsida; Ranunculales; Papaveraceae. The transcript has 4 exons.